This 1514-nucleotide long non-coding RNA is filed under the name Gallus gallus (chicken). RNAcentral's name for it is "lncRNA (ENSGALG00010007756.1)". The record is from RNAcentral. Lineage: Eukaryota; Metazoa; Chordata; Aves; Galliformes; Phasianidae.
UGGGCAUUGGGGCUGUGCCACCCGUGGUGACACAGAGCCCUGCUGUGCAGCUCCAGCCCAACCCCACUGCGCUCAGGGCUGAUGCAGUGGGGUAAGCUGGGGAAACGGGCUGCAGGAGGAGCCUUUGGUGCAUGGGGAGCUCCUGCUCUGCAUCUCCGCACAGUGCCUCAUUCCCGUGUCCUAAUUGCAGCCAGUGAGUCUGCCUGCAGCACUGGCAGCGGUGGGGCACAGGGGUGGGGGCUGCUCUGUCUCUUUGGGCGAUGCUGAGCGCUGCGGUGAGGGAUGUGGGGCAGUGCGUGGUGGGCUGUGUGGGUGUCCCACCCCCUGCCCCCCUGUGCCCAGGUUGUCCCCCCUCCGUCCCCAAGCUCUGCAAGGCUGGACCUGCCCAACUUCGUCGUCCCUGUGGGUGCAGCAGUCCCUGCCCCAGCGCUGCCUGCCCCAACCUCGGUGUUCCCAGCACUCAGGGAUGGCAGCAGGACACAAACGUGCCCCGCGCUGUUUUGUUCAGGUCCGACACAAACAACGGUGGUAGAUUUCCUCUGUGUCAGCAGCGCAGCUGUCCUGCGAGCCUCCUGCAGGGUGAGGGCAGCAAGGUGGUGACAGCUGUGUCCGGAGUGAGGUGCCAGGGCCCCCUGGGACCUCAGGGCAUCACUUUACAUAGGCACAAUAGCAGCUGGGUGAAUUGCAGGGCCCGUGGUGCCUCUGCUGUUGGGUGCUGGAGUGCAUCUCGUACGAUGUUAAAUCUGGUGGCACCCACCAUGGUGCACCACAGGCAGAAAUGGGAUCCUCGCGGCCGCCCCUUCCCCCCCCCCAGCACCUUACACUGCCGACACCAUCUGCAGCGCAACAAGAAAUCCCAAGCCAUACAUGUUUAAUUUUCUACAACACAGCAGCCAUUUCAGCCACACACCCAGAAAGGAUCUUUAAUGAGAAGCGAGGAGAGAGAGCACGCAGCACGCAGGAGAGCCGAGGCACUAUGGAAACACUCUGCUCCCUCCCGGCUGCCUGCCGCUGCUCCGAGUUCAGCCCGGAGAACUUCCCUGCACUGCUGGAGGUUGAUGAGGAGGGAUUGCCGUGACCCCGUGCCUGUGACAGUCGUUUCAGGGCUAAGCGGGGCAUCCGAGCAGCACAGAGCCCCGUCGGUGGGUCCCGGGCUCCUCCAGCAGCAAGAUGGCUUUCUGGGGUGGCAUCCCCCCUGAUAGCAGCUCCGGAUAGCGGCUGCACCGGGGCAGCACCGAGUCCCCAGGAACAGGUCAGGUACAGCCCUCCCAGCCCUGCACCCCGCGCCAUGCACCCUGCACCAUGCACCCCGCACCCUGCACCCUGCACCAUGCACCCUGCACCACGCACCCCGCACCCUGCACCCUGCACCAUGCACUCUGCUGCAUGGGCCUGGAGCGGCAGUGGAGGAUGUAGGGGGGGCAGAACUCCCAUGAAUGAGGGAUGUGUUGGUGAGGCUGAGCCAGGGGGUGGUGAUGGGACCCUUCCUUUGGUGGUAGUGGUGGUAGUCGGUG